This 4943-nucleotide long non-coding RNA is filed under the name Homo sapiens (human). Its description in RNAcentral is "TRAF3IP2 antisense RNA 1 (TRAF3IP2-AS1)". Lineage: Eukaryota; Metazoa; Chordata; Mammalia; Primates; Hominidae. The record is from RNAcentral.
CGGAAGGGGCGGCGGAGCACCGAUCUCAUGGAUGGGCUCCGAGGGGCUUGCGGGAGGGGGGCGCCAGUGUUCGGGGCCGUUUUGGCGGCUAUGCAGGAUUGGCAGGAGCUGCGAUGCUCACACUUGCCUCGCCGACCGCCAUUUCACAUCCAGCAGAGGAGGCGGGGGCAGCCGCUGAGACGGUUUUUCACAAGGAAAUGACCUCAUUCUUGAUGGCUGCUGCUAACUUAUGGUGAGAUGCUGGGUCCCUGCCCAAUACCACAUGGACAUCCAAUCAAUUUACCCAGGGACAAGUCCACUCAAGAGCAUCAUUUAGAAGAGGGAAAAGGCACUGGGGUUAUUUGUUUUUGGAGUAUGUGCUUAAGGAAAUCUAGAGUAUUCCCACGAGCAUUCUGCUGAGAUGAACAAUCAGAUGACCUCGUGUGAGAUUUGGAGGAGAGAAGGAAAUGGAGAGCAUGCGUCUGCCGCUUCUGUGGUUUCUGUCGGCUUUCUCCAUAUUUACGUGCUUGUAACUCUGGCAUGACCUUUGCUCCAGUCUCUACCAGAGGGCGGUGCCUGGAUUGAAGUGGAAAAGCCCUGUUUUCCAGCCAUGACCCAGGGAGCAAGCACUGACUCCUCAGGGGAACAGGAGACCUGCCAACUAGGACCCUGGGAGCCCCCAUGCUGGCAGUGCCCUGGGUCAUCUCAGGCUCAUCAGCAAAUCCUGGGGGGAGAGCGGGGCUGGAGGGCGAAGAAGCCCAGGAGAGUUCCUGGCUCAGAACCCCUCUCUGAGGCUCCCAAUACAGAGCCCAGGCCCCACACCCAGGGCCUCUGAGUAUUUUUGUUUAUUGUAUGUAAAAUACUAGUGUAUUUUUGUUUAAGUCUCACAGGUAAACAGGUUCUCUCAUACUUUGCCAAGGGAAAUGUGAUCUGUGCAAUUUGGCAAUAACUAUCAGAAUUUUAAAAGCUUAUGCCCUUUGACCUAGUAAUUUCACUUCUAAGAAUUUCCCCUGCAGAGAUAUGUAUAUCUUGUAUGAAAUGAAGAGGCUACGAAGACAGGCAACGCCGCAGUGUUUAUAAUAGCGAAGACCAGACACAACCCACAUGUCUAAAGGUUCUGAUUUUUAAAACUGUAGUAUAUCUGUACAAUGAGCACUCCACAUCCUUUAAGAAUGAGGAAGGGCUGUGUGAACUGAAAUGGAACUAUCUCUAAGAUUUAUUAAGUUAAAAAAAUUCAAGAGUAGCACAGUGUGUAGGGUAUGCCAUCAUUUGUAUGAUAUAAGGUCGUAUAUCUGCCAUCUCAAAUGAGGAACAGUGGUUGCCUCUGGGAAGGGAAUUGGAUGGCUAGGAAUGGGGUAGGAAAGAGGUUUGCUUUUCAGAACAUUUUAUACUAUUUAAGUUUUGUAACAAGUGCAUCUAUUUUGACUUAAAAGAUAAAAAAUGAAAAGGAAAGGCUCCACUAGUGAUUCUGAUGCUCACAAAGAUUAAGAACCAAUGCGAAUGAGGAACUCAUGACACCGCCCAGGAGACAGUGAACAUAUCUCUUCAAAUAUCAAAAACCUUUCAGCAGAGGGUGAGAACAUGUGCCUGGGGUAAGCAUGGGUGGGCAUGAGCUGGGUACAGAGGUGAUUCCCAGGGACAUACAACUACCUUGCCCUCCUGGGAUCAGGUCUUCCUCCCACCUUAGCCUCCCAUAUUGUUGGGACCACAGGCAUGCACCACCACACCUGGUUAAUUUUUUUUUUUUUUUUUUUUUUGUAGCGACAGAGUCUCGCCAUGUUGCCUAGGCUGGUCUCGAACUCCUGGGCUCAGGCAAUCCUUCUGCCUCGUCCUUCCAAAGUGCUGAGAUUACAGGCAUGAGCCACUGCACCCAGCCUGACAGUAGCUUUUAAUCUCUGGACUCUCAUCACCGUUUGGACUGUGAGCUGUGGUUCUAGCUCUUGGAUCUGAUGGGCAUCUUCCCUCAAAUAUGUCAGUUUCUCUCUCCAGGUCCCUUGCUUUGUCUUCCUUUUUGCCUCCUCGGGCCUGAUACCUUUCUCUGGGCUUCUCUACUCUGCCCCGAGCUGCCUAGUUUUGCGAAUAAUGUCACAUCCAGAUGUCAGCAGCCCUGAUGUCCAUGUGACAAUGCUCCCUUGCUGUCCAUGUGACAAUGCUCCCUUGGUGUCCCAGUGACAGAUUUUCCCAUGCUUCACCCUCUCUCUUUUUUAAUUUUUUUUUCUGUACACAGCUCUCAGUCAAGCCCCUUGAGCUGCCUCCAACUGUUUGCUCAUGUCUGUUCCCAGCAAUCUUUUCCUCUUUUAGCACAAUCUUCCUUAACUUACUAGUUUUUUGAAACAGAGCCUAUUAGUCUUCACAGCGCUACCUUUCUGAUCUCAGAGUUCACCAAAAAGCUUUUCCUCCCAUCAUGCCUGCCUCCCUUUCUUCAGGUCCGUUAGAGUCCACCGUGGCCUGUGUGGGAAGCAAGUCUCUCCCAGGGCACACAUGAACAGACUUCAUGCCCACAUCCACAGUGAACAGUGGCUUCUGCCUUCCAGAUGGGCUUACCCUAAAUCAACACAUAUUCCUAGGAUGUGGGAACAUAUGCAAUACUUAAAUGCACAGGCUCUGGGUUCAGACUCCCUAGGGUUAAAUUCUCCCUGUGCCGGCUAGCUGCAUGAUUAGAUUUGUGAUCUUGACAAAGUUACCUAACGUCUCUGGGCCUCACUUUUCUCAUCUGCAAAAUAGGGAAAAUAGCAACACUUCUCCAUAGGGGUGUGGUGAGGAUAAAGAGUAGAUGUAAAUAAAGUGUUGAAUGUAGAGCCUGGCACAUAUCAAGCUCUUAAAAAGCAAUGGCCAUUUUGUUAUUUUUACCGCAACGACAACUGCAGUUAUUAUCUGGCUUCAGAGCUCUCUUUUUAAAAACAGUAUUCCCUGGUUUUACACCCAGGUGCUAAUACUAUUCUAUGAAGCUAAUGUAUAGAGACCAUAUCUUUUUAACAAACGUGUAUAUAUGAGUCAUUUCCGGCACAUUUGAUACACAUCAUCUCGUUUGGUCCUUAAAACAAGCCUAGGCCAUAAGCAGGGUACGUGUUACCACUUUGCCAUUCCUGUUUUACAGAGGCUUAGACACAUUGAGAAGCUUUUCCAUAGUCACUUAACAAGUGAUGGGUGAAGCCAAAUCAAGCCUUUAGAUCUCCAAGCUCUUUCCAUUAAACCAUAUAAAUCACGGGUUGGCAAACUUUUUCUGCAAAGGGGACAGAUAGUAAAUAGUUUAAGCCUUAUGGGCCACAUGCUGUGUCUGUUUCAUAUUCUGCUCCUUUUUUAUUUUUAUUUUUUUUAAGAAAAGACACCCUUUAAACAUAUAAAAACCAUUCUGAGCAACAGGCUGGUGCUAAAAACAGGUCAUGGUAACCAUUGGCUCUAGGGUUGUAGUUUACUGUUGAUAUAGAUUGUACACUGAUAAGCCAAAAUACAAACCUAAUGAAACUGACAUACUUAAGGAACUUUACUCUUUGUUAGCAAUCAUUGUUAAUAUUUAUUGAAUGGUGACUACGUGGGAAAUGCUGUUCCAAGUGUGAUAGAUAUAUUAACUUACUUAAUCCUCACACCCACUCUAAUUUCCUAAGUACUAUUGUCAGACUCAUUUUACAGACAGGAAAAGCAAGGCAUAGAGAAGGUAAGUAACUUUUCCGAGGUCACAUGGCUAUUAAGUAGCAGAGCUGUGAUUCAAAUAUAAGCGGUUUGGCACCAGAUCCUGUGCACUUAACCGCUUGCAUCUCGGUUGGGAGCACUGACUGGUUCAGCUAUUGGGAGGGAAGAAAGGGGAUGGGGAAGCCACAUAACCCCUAGGAGAUUCUGUAAUAAAUAUGCUUCAGAGCCAUUCACCUUGAAGCUGAGGAGGCAUGGAAGCAGGCCACCUGUGUUCUGUACAGCAUCACCAGGCUGGAAAUCUGCCAUGGCUUUCCUUCACGCCAUCACAAGAGGAUACAGAUGAGGCUGCAGAGGCAUCUUGAUUUGAGAAAAGCAUUUGACUGGAUCUCAUUAAAUUUUAAUCAUUAACUGAAUUCAAAAUAAAUUGAAAACUGGUUGACAGAGCACCAACAAAGGGUGAUGAUAAAUGGUGAUGCAUCUAGAGGGGAGCUAUCUUCCAGGGGACAACUCUAAGGCAAGGACGGAUGGGAUUUAAUGAAGGUGUUAUGUCCCCAGAAGAAGACAAAUAGCACAGCAAGGAACAGAGGAAGGACAGGAGUGAGCAGCCUGAGUAAUUAAUAAACCAUAUUAACAGCUCCUCCAUAAUCAGGCCUUGGUGAUCACAACUGCUUGGAUUUUUUCUUAAGCUUUCUUUGAGUCAGGAAUAGGUUUGAAGCGUCCUAGAGACACACAGCAUGAAUAUUUCAGGUGGACAUUAAAAAGAAAUCUAUAAAUUUACAGCUGGGAGGAUCCUGAGAUCUACUUCGGAUCAGAAACUUUCAAUUACAAGAUUCCCAAGGCCUUACUUCAUUCCCCAGAGAGUAAUCUUUUUAAUAAAUGUCCAAAAGUCAUGGAUUUAAAAAAAAAUCUUUAAACUCAUUAAUGUCCUUUGUUUCCUGCCCAAAUGCAUGCAAACUUUCAUAACACUGGUUUGCUGAGUGGAAGGUUGGUUUUGAGUGAACUGUUUGGCUCAGAUUCAAACUCCAAUGAACAAAUACUUCCAAGUUUACUUGCUGAAUUUCCCAUACAGAGAAGUUCUUCCACUGGGCUUGCCAGAGGAUUUGAAACAGUGGUGAGCCCUGGAAGGAAGGGAAUAUUUACUGGCCCUUGGACAUAAACCCAGCACAGUAAGACUCACAUCAGGCUGAAGGCAGUGCAGUAUGAACCGACCUGAUUUGAGGAAGUUUGCUCUGGGACUCCUCUGAGCUACUAAAUGAGGAGGAGAAGGACUAAUGGGAACACACUGACUCCAUCACAUUAGAAGUUAUAAUAAACAUUUAGAGAACAACCUCAAA